RNAcentral lists this ribosomal RNA (301 nucleotides) under uncultured bacterium. Its description in RNAcentral is "partial 16S ribosomal RNA". It matches the Rfam family "Bacterial small subunit ribosomal RNA", at positions 509 to 807 of the family's 1533-position model. The record is from RNAcentral.
CAGUCGCCACGGUAAAACGAAGGGGGCUAGCGUUGCUCGGAAUUACUGGGCGUAAAGGGAGCGUAGGCGGACAUUUAAGUCAGGGGUGAAAUCCCAGAGCUCAACUCUGGAACUGCCUUUGAUACUGGGUGUCUUGAGUGUGAUAGAGGUAUGUGGAACUCCGAGUGUAGAGGUGAAAUUCGUAGAUAUUCGGAAGAACACCAGUGGCGAAGGCGACAUACUGGAUCAUUACUGACGCUGAGGCUCGAAAGCGUGGGGAGCAAACAGGAUUAGAUACCCCGGUAGUCCCUGUCUCUUAUAC